Molecule: unclassified non-coding RNA, 395 nt
Filed under: uncultured Inocybe
Lineage: Eukaryota; Fungi; Basidiomycota; Agaricomycetes; Agaricales; Cortinariaceae
Description: sequence contains ITS2
Rfam family: 5.8S ribosomal RNA (bases 1-154)
Source: RNAcentral
AACUUUCGGCAACGGAUCUCUUGGCUCUCGCAUCGAUGAAGAACACAGCGAAAUGUGAUAAGUAAUGUGAGUUGCAGAAUUCAGUGAAUCAUCGAAUCUUUGAACGCAUCUUGCGCUCCUUGGUAUUCUGAGGAGCAUGCCUGUUUGAGUGUCAUUAAAUUCUCAACCACACUAAUUUUUAUUGGCGUGGCUUGGAUUAUGGGGUUUCUGCAGGCUUUAAAACCAGCUUCCCUGAAAUGCAUUAGUGGUAUCUGAGCAGACUACAGGUGUGAUAACUAUCUAUGCCUUUGCUGAAAACAGAUUACACUGCUUCAAACAACAAACUAUUGUUUUUGUUUGACCUCAAAUCAGGUAGGACUACCCGCUGAACUUAAGCAUAUCAAUAAGCGGAGGCU